Molecule: unclassified non-coding RNA, 352 nt
Filed under: soil metagenome
Description: partial contains 5.8S ribosomal RNA, internal transcribed spacer 2, and large subunit ribosomal RNA
Rfam family: 5.8S ribosomal RNA (bases 1-119)
Source: RNAcentral
GAUGAAGAACGCAGCGAAAUGCGAUAAGUAAUGCGAAUUGCAGAAUCCGUGAAUCAUCGAAUCUUUGAACGCACAUUGCGCCCGCCAGUAUUCUGGCGGGCAUGCCUGUUCGAGCGUCAUUACAACCCUCAGGCCCCCGGGCCUGGCGUUGGGGAUCGGCGGAAGCCCCCUGCGGGCACAACGCCGUCCCCCAAAUACAGUGGCGGUCCCGCCGCAGCUUCCAUUGCGUAGUAGCUAACACCUCGCAACUGGAGAGCGGCGCGGCCACGCCGUAAAACACCCAACUUCUGAAUGUUGACCUCGAAUCAGGUAGGAAUACCCGCUGAACUUAAGCAUAUCAAUAAGCGGAGGA